Molecule: non-coding RNA, 743 nt
Organism: Cricetulus griseus (Chinese hamster)
Lineage: Eukaryota; Metazoa; Chordata; Mammalia; Rodentia; Cricetidae
Source: RefSeq, a predicted model, not a curated record
CCUCCCUCCUGCUAGUGUUACCUCCGGUGACCCCCCACAGCCUGUUGCCAGAUGGGGACGGGUGACUAGCUUUCCACAAACAGGGACACAGAACAGUCUCCGCCUCCUGCAACUCUCUUCCCCGAGGCCACAUCAAGCCAGGUUUUUCCACCAGCCAAGACCUCAGCCAAGACCUCCUGAGUCUCCCAGAGCAGCCACAACCGCGUCAUCCAUCCCUUCCCAUCCCCUCCCCCACGAACCGGAGGACUGGUCACUCCUUCGCUUUCCCAGGACCUUGUUGUACUCCUCCUGCCCUCUAAGUAGAUAGCUUUCCCAGGAAGCCUGGGUGAACAGAGAAUUCCUCCCCAAAUAGCUGUUAGGCUGAGAGGCCCACUCAAGUUAGGAGAUGUAGCCAGAGCACUGGGGAAAGAGGGGCAGCACCAUCCUACCCUUCCCUGGCCACCAUCACUGCUGAAUUCCCACAAAGUUGAGGAAUGUUUUCCACUCCCAUGACCCCACCCCACAACUAUAAGUCCACAGCCAUCUUGGAAACUUCCCACAUAUUCAGGAGCCCAACAACACCUUGAAGACCAAUAUUCUUCAUUUGGUCUCUGCAUCCUGUAAACACAGGGAUCCCUCAACAUUUUCAGAGGGAAAAAAGUUUCUGUGAAUGAUUUGGACCGAAUAAUUUAUUUUAUUGUGAUAUUGGGAGUAAAUACAGGUAAAUAGAGAUUUUUAUUAAUAAAAAAUGAUGGAAAACAGAA